AGCAAAAAUGCUUUUGGACGGACGACGAACUUGAUGACAGCUUGAAGUUUUACGCAAUACCAUUCGCCAUAUAUUUAAAAAAAAAAACAGUAUUAAAUACGUAUCAAACCGAAAUUCGUGCAAAUCGAUUAAUCGGUAAACGGGGAUAUAUCCUCUAUGACUUUUUUGAUUUUGUUAAAAAAUGUUUAAAAUUCAUUAUUACCCUCUAUGUAGCCACCCAUGACGCACGCGUUAAAAUCUAAAAUAUUAGUUUGACGAAAAAUUCGACUGAACCGUAUUAUAUAUCCUCGCACAUUAUGAAGGGCAUAAAACAGACCCUAUCGGCCCUUUAUGGGGUCCGUUUUUUUUAUCAAGAUCUACCGACCAAAAUACAUUGAAAUGAAACUCGUUCGGGUUUUUUCGUUA
Cinara cedri is the source of this 405-nucleotide non-coding RNA. NCBI's taxonomy places the organism in Eukaryota, Metazoa, Arthropoda, Insecta, Hemiptera, Aphididae. The record is from the annotation of a GenBank genome assembly.